This 380-nucleotide ribosomal RNA is filed under the name uncultured bacterium. RNAcentral describes it as "bacterial SSU rRNA". It matches the Rfam family "Bacterial small subunit ribosomal RNA", at positions 30 to 412 of the family's 1533-position model. The record is from RNAcentral.
AUUGAACGCUGGCGGCAGGCCUAACACAUGCAAGUCGAGCGGUAGAGAGGUGCUUGCAUCUCUUGAGAGCGGCGGACGGGUGAGUAAUGCCUAGGAAUCUGCCUAGUGUGGGGGAUAACGUUCGGAAACGGACGCUAAUACCGCAUACGUCCUACGGGAGAAAGCGGGGGAAUCUUCGGACCUCGCGCCAUUAGAUGAGCCUAGGUCGGAUUAGCUAGUUGGUGAGGUAAUGGCUCACCAAGGCGACGAUCCGUAACUGGUCUGAGAGGAUGAUCAGUCACACUGGAACUGAGACACGGUCCAGACUCCUACGGGAGGCAGCAGUGGGGAAUAUUGGACAAUGGCGAAGCCUGAUCCAGCCAUGCCGCGUGUGUGAAGAA